AACAGCAGAGAUUAUUACUAUUAAUAUUGUUAUAAUUUAUAUAUUACGUGUUUAUGGUUUUAUUAUUGUGUUUCUUCAGAUCUUCAGUAAGUUCGGCUCCGUGUUGAAAAUCAUCACGUUCACCAGAAACAAUCAGUUUCAGGCUCUGCUGCAGUUCAUUGACACCGUGCACGCUCAUCACGCCAAGGCUUCUCUGGACGGUCAGAACAUCUAUAACGGCUGCUGCACGCUGAGGAUCGACUUCUCCAAACUGAGCGCGCUCAACGUGAAGUACAACAACGACAAGAGCCGAGACUUCACCAGAGCCGACCUCCCGUCAGGAGAGCUGGACCCCGCCGCCGGCUUCGGUGUACCUCUCCCUCCAUACGGAGCAGCAGCUUUCCAGCCGACCUUCCAUCAACACACAGGUCUGUCCCUGUCCGUCCCCGGUCCGUUGUUGUCUCCUCCUCGUGUCUCCCUGCAGGUGGCGCCUCCUGCUGGUCACUCUGUGCUGCUGGUGUCCAACCUGAACCCAGAGAGCAUCUCUCCUCACAGCCUCUUCAUCCUGUUUGGUG
Anarrhichthys ocellatus (wolf-eel) is the source of this 554-nucleotide long non-coding RNA. RefSeq lists it as uncharacterized. The transcript has 5 exons. The record is from RefSeq and is a predicted model, not a curated record. Lineage: Eukaryota; Metazoa; Chordata; Actinopteri; Perciformes; Anarhichadidae.